This 401-nucleotide unclassified non-coding RNA is filed under the name Hevea brasiliensis (rubber tree). The record is from RNAcentral. Lineage: Eukaryota; Viridiplantae; Streptophyta; Magnoliopsida; Malpighiales; Euphorbiaceae.
GAAUCAUUUUGACCACCUUGCAUUUCCACGGCCAGUCUGAUUCACCAUAAUUAUAGGUGAUCUCUUCUCCUGGACUUAUGUCACGUUUUGCAAACAAACACAGAUGGGGCUUCCCUAUCACUGUCAAGUACUUCAUCUUGGCAUUGGGAUUCAUAUGGUUGUCAUUUACGAGCCUUCCAAGUGACCCAUCCUCUUUUGCUGCAUCAACACUACAAAAGCAAAGAUAACACAUUAUUACAAAUUGUAAUUUGGCAAUAUAAAUUUGCCUGACUUAGAAGCCUUCCCUCAACAAUAUAGUCUGAAAACUGGCUUACUGCCAUUCCAACUGGCACGUGCAUGGUCAAUUGCAAUCACCGAUGUCUCAGCGUGCAAGAGAGCAGCAUUAGGCCAUGUCACAAUAA